CACGAACUGGCUCACUCUGUGAUUCUCCAACCUCAGGAUUUCCCCUUUCUAGGGGUUCUUCACAAGCUCCUGGGUCAGAGAAGGGCUCAGGGGCUGGGAGCAUGCCUCUGGACUGACCAGAAAACCUCCCAAUGGCAGGUUCUUAUCAUAAAUGAUCAUGUGGACUGGGAAGCCAAGCAAGCACCUCUCCUUCCUGGUAAAUGGUGGUGGUGUGGCAGACUGCGGCCCUUCCAGGGGGAGAACCACCAGCAGCUCCUGAGAUCCACACCAUGUUGGAAUUUAGGACACCGGGAAGCCAAGCACACACUGCCCCUCCCUGGUAAGUGGUGGCGGUGUGGCAGACUGCAGCCCUUCCAGGGGAAGAACCACCAGGAGCUCCUGAGAUCCCCACUAUGUUGGAACUUAGGACACCAAGAAACCAAGCAAGCAUCUCCCCUCCCUGGUAAGUGGUGGCAGUGUGGCAGACUACAGCCCUUCCAGGGGGAGAACCACCAGCAGCUCUUGAGACCCAUGCCAUGUUGGAACUUAGGAUGCUGGGACACCAAACAACCAGCCUGCCUUCCUGCUAAGCAAUAGUGAACCUACUGAUGCACGGCCUAGAGUCAAACAUCCCACUUCCCUUACCCCUUUUUCCUGUCCCCCCCGCCGUUAGCAAAUGGGAACCAGAAAUCUGAGCAUCUCCUAGGAGGUUGAUCAUAGCAAAUAAGGGGACUUCCUUCUACCAUCUCUUUGAAGGCAAAUAUUUUUAUUACUGUUUUGCUCUAUUCUGAUUAAUGGUACUGCUCUAUUCAAUAUUCUGUUUUGUAAGUUCUGUAAUGUUUUGUAUUUCAUCUCAUUUUGAUAUAUGUGAUUGAAAGAAAGAUAAAUUAUAUUAUAAUAUUAUAAAGAUAAUGAAAUAAAAAAAGAAAUGUU
Cavia porcellus (domestic guinea pig) is the source of this 912-nucleotide long non-coding RNA. RefSeq lists it as uncharacterized. NCBI's taxonomy places the organism in Eukaryota, Metazoa, Chordata, Mammalia, Rodentia, Caviidae. The transcript is spliced from 2 exons. The record is from RefSeq and is a predicted model, not a curated record.